Molecule: ribosomal RNA, 293 nt
Filed under: uncultured bacterium
Lineage: Bacteria
Description: partial 16S ribosomal RNA
Rfam family: Bacterial small subunit ribosomal RNA
Source: RNAcentral
GUGUCAGCAGCCGCGGUAAUACGGGGGGAGCAAGCGUUGUUCGGAUUUACUGGGCGUAAAGGGCGCGUAGGCGGCCACCGCAAGUCAAUUGUGAAAUCUCCGGGCUUAACUCGGAAAGGUCAACUGAUACUGCGGGGCUAGAGUGCAGAAGGGGCAACUGGAAUUCUCGGUGUAGCGGUGAAAUGCGUAGAUAUCGAGAGGAACACCUGCGGCGAAGGCGGGUUGCUGGGCUGACACUGACGCUGAGGCGCGAAAGCUAGGGGAGCGAACGGGAUUAGAUACCCCUGUAGUCC